UACGGAGGGGGCUAGCGUUGUUCGGAAUCACUGGGCGUAAAGCGCACGUAGGCGGCGCGUUAAGUCAGGGGUGAAAUCCUGGAGCUCAACUCCAGAACUGCCCUUGAUACUGGCGUGCUCGAGUGUGGGAGAGGUUGGUGGAACUCCGAGUGUAGAGGGGAAGUUCGUAGAUAUUCGGAAGAACACCAGUGGCGAAGGCGGCCAACUGGCCCAUUACUGACGCUGAGGUGCGAAAGCGUGGGGAGCAAACAGG
This 253-nucleotide ribosomal RNA is filed under the name uncultured bacterium. RNAcentral describes it as "partial 16S ribosomal RNA". It matches the Rfam family "Bacterial small subunit ribosomal RNA", at positions 524 to 776 of the family's 1533-position model. The record is from RNAcentral.